This 253-nucleotide ribosomal RNA is filed under the name uncultured bacterium. Its description in RNAcentral is "partial 16S ribosomal RNA". It matches the Rfam family "Bacterial small subunit ribosomal RNA", at positions 524 to 776 of the family's 1533-position model. The record is from RNAcentral.
UACGGGGGGGGCAAGCGUUGUUCGGAAUUACUGGGCGUAAAGCGUCUGUAGGUGGCUUUUCAAGUCCGCCGUCAAAUCCCAGGGCUCAACCCUGGACAGGCGGUGGAAACUGCCAAGCUGGAGUACGGUAGGGGCAGAGGGAAUUUCCGGUGGAGCGGUGAAAUGCGUAGAGAUCGGAAAGAACACCAACGGCGAAAGCACUCUGCUGGGCCGACACUGACACUGAGAGACGAAAGCUAGGGGAGCGAAUGGG